This 468-nucleotide ribosomal RNA is filed under the name uncultured bacterium. Its description in RNAcentral is "partial 16S ribosomal RNA". It matches the Rfam family "Bacterial small subunit ribosomal RNA", at positions 28 to 507 of the family's 1533-position model. The record is from RNAcentral.
GACGAACGCUGGCGGCGUGCUUAACACAUGCAAGUCGAACGGAAAGGCCCUGCUUUUGUGGGGUGCUUGAGUGCCGCACGGGUGAGUAUCACGUGUGUAACCUCCCCUUUUCUUUGGGAUACCUCCUUUAGACUGGGGCUCUUACCCCAUAUGAGCUCCUUCUGCAUGGUUUUUGUUUUUAAGUUUCGGCGUUUGGGGAUGGACUCGCGGUCUAUCAGCUUGUUGGUGGGGUAGUGGCUUACCAAGGCUUUGACGGGUAGCCGGACUGAGAGGGUGACCGGCCACAUUGGGACUGAGAUACGGCCCAGACGGCUACGGGAGGCAGCAGUGGGGAAUAUUGCACAAUGGGCGGAAGCCUGAUGCAGCAACGCCGCGUGCGGGAUGACGGCCUUCGGGUUGUAAACCGCUUUCGCCUGUGACGAAGCGUGAGUGACGGUAAUGGGUAAAGAAGCACCGGCUAACUACGUG